This 107-nucleotide small nuclear RNA is filed under the name Vulpes vulpes (red fox). Lineage: Eukaryota; Metazoa; Chordata; Mammalia; Carnivora; Canidae. The record is from RNAcentral.
GUGCUCGCUUCGGCAGCACAUAUACUAAAAUUGGACUGAUACAGAGAAGAUUAGCAUGGCCUCAGCGCAAGGAUGACAUGCAAAUUUGUGAAGCUUUCCAUAUUUUU